Molecule: ribosomal RNA, 1383 nt
Filed under: uncultured bacterium
Lineage: Bacteria
Description: partial 16S rRNA
Rfam family: Bacterial small subunit ribosomal RNA
Source: RNAcentral
AGUUUGAUCCUGGCUCUAGUUGUACCCAGUUUCCCUCCGCGUUAAUCGCGCCGGGAUAUACUUCGGGCACCCUUAGGCUAAUACCGGAUUAGAGCCAAUGGACAUCGCCUAUGUCUAUUGUACAGGUCAUGGUCGCAAGCUUACACGAUAAGAUGGGCCUGCGGCGCAUUAGCUAGUUGGUAAGGUAACGGCUUACCAAGGCGACGAUGCGUAGCCGACCUGAGAGGGUGAUCGGCCACACUGGGACUGAGACACGGCCCAGACUCCUACGGGAGGCAGCAGUAGGGAAUCUUCCGCAAUGGACGAAAGUCUGACGGAGCAACGCCGCGUGAACGAUGAAGGCCUUCGGGUCGUAAAGUUCUGUUGUCAGGGGAAGAACAAGUGCCGUUUGAAUAAGGCGGCACCUUGACGGUACCUGACCAGAAAGCCACGGCUAACUACGUGCCAGCAGCCGCGGUAAUACGUAGGUGGCAAGCGUUGUCCGGAAUUAUUGGGCGUAAAGCGCGCGCAGCGCGGUGUUUUAAGUCUGAUGUGAAAGCCCAUGGCUCCACCAUGGAUGGUCAUUGGAAACUGGGAGACUUGAGUUCAGAAGAGGAGAGUGGAAUUCCACGUGUAGCGGUGAAAUGCGUAGAUAUGUGGAGGAACACCAGUGGCGAAGGCGACUCUCUGUUCUGUAACUGACGCUGAGGCGCGAAAGCGUGGGGAGCAAACAGGGAUUAGAUACCCUGGUAGUCCACGCCGUAAACGAUGAGUGCUAGGUGUUAGGGGUUUCGAUGCCCUUAGUGCCGAAGUUAACACAUUAAGCACUCCGCCUGGGGAGUACGGCCGCAAGGCUGAAACUCAAAGGAAUUGACGGGGGCCCGCACAAGCGGUGGAGCAUGUGGUUUAAUUCGAAGCAACGCGAAGAACCUUACCAGGUCUUGACAUCCCGAUGACCGCUCUGGAGACAGAGUUUCCCCUUCGGGGGCAUCGGUGACAGGUGGUGCAUGGUUGUCGUCAGCUCGUGUCGUGAGAUGUUGGGUUAAGUCCCGCAACGAGCGCAACCCUUGACCUUAGUUGCCAGCAUUCAGUUGGGCACUCUAAGGUGACUGCCGGUGACAAACCGGAGGAAGGUGGGGAUGACGUCAAAUCAUCAUGCCCCUUAUGACCUGGGCUACACACGUGCUACAAUGGAUGGUACAAAGGGAAGCGAAGCCGCGAGGUGGAGCCAAUCCCAUAAAGCCAUUCUCAGUUCGGAUUGCAGGCUGCAACUCGCCGUGCAUGAAGCCGGAAUCGCUAGUAAUCGCGGAUCAGCAUGCCGCGGUGAAUACGUUCCCGGGCCUUGUACACACCGCCCGUCACACCACGAGAGUUUGAUCCUGGCUCAGUCGUAACAAGGUAACC